This 253-nucleotide ribosomal RNA is filed under the name uncultured bacterium. RNAcentral's name for it is "partial 16S ribosomal RNA". It matches the Rfam family "Bacterial small subunit ribosomal RNA", at positions 524 to 776 of the family's 1533-position model. The record is from RNAcentral.
UACGGGGGGGGCAAGCGUUGUUCGGAAUUAUUGGGCGUAAAGGGCGCGUAGGCGGCCAUGCGUGUCUUCCGUGAAAUCCCUCGGCUUAACUGAGGACGUGCGGAAGAAACUGCAAGGCUUGAGUCCGGGAGAGGGGGGUGGAAUUCCCAGUGUAGCGGUGAAAUGCGUAGAUAUUGGGAGGAACACCGGUGGCGAAGGCGGCCCCCUGGACCGGUACUGACGCUGAGGCGCGAAAGCGUGGGUAGCAAACGAG